Molecule: ribosomal RNA, 497 nt
Filed under: uncultured bacterium
Lineage: Bacteria
Description: partial 16S ribosomal RNA
Rfam family: Bacterial small subunit ribosomal RNA
Source: RNAcentral
GAUGAACGCUGGCGGCGUGCCUAAUACAUGCAAGUCGAGCGAACAGACGAGGAGCUUGCUCCUCUGACGUUAGCGGCGGACGGGUGAGUAACACGUGGAUAACCUACCUAUAAGACUGGGAUAACUUCGGGAAACCGGAGCUAAUACCGGAUAAUAUAUUGAACCGCAUGGUUCAAUAGUGAAAGACGGUUUUGCUGUCACUUAUAGAUGGAUCCGCGCCGCAUUAGCUAGUUGGUAAGGUAACGGCUUACCAAGGCAACGAUGCGUAGCCGACCUGAGAGGGUGAUCGGCCACACUGGAACUGGGACACGGUCCAGACUCCUAUGGGAGGCAGCAGUAGGGAAUCUUCCGCAAUGGGCGAAAGCCUGACGGAGCAACGCCGCGUGAGUGAUGAAGGUCUUCGGAUCGUAAAACUCUGUUAUUAGGGAAGAACAAAUGUGUAAGUAACUAUGCACGUCUUGACGGUACCUAAUCAGAAAGCCACGGCUAACUACGUG